RNAcentral lists this ribosomal RNA (497 nucleotides) under uncultured bacterium. RNAcentral describes it as "partial 16S ribosomal RNA". It matches the Rfam family "Bacterial small subunit ribosomal RNA", at positions 28 to 507 of the family's 1533-position model. The record is from RNAcentral.
GAUGAACGCUGGCGGCGUGCCUAAUACAUGCAAGUCGAGCGAACAGACGAGGAGCUUGCUCCUUUGAUGUUAGCGGCGGACGGGUGAGUAACACGUAGGUAACCUACCUAUAAGACUGGGAUAACUUCGGGAAACCGGAGCUAAUACCGGAUAAUAUUUCGAACCGCAUGGUUCGAUAGUGAAAGAUGGCUUUGCUAUCACUUAUAGAUGGGCCUGCGCCGUAUUAGCUAGUUGGUAAGGUAACGGCUUACCAAGGCAACGAUACGUAGCCGACCUGAGAGGGUGAUCGGCCACACUGGAACUGAGACACGGUCCAGACUCCUACGGGAGGCAGCAGUAGGGAAUCUUCCGCAAUGGGCGAAAGCCUGACGGAGCAACGCCGCGUGAGUGAUGAAGGUCUUCGGAUCGUAAAACUCUGUUAUUAGGGAAGAACAAACGUGUAAGUAACUGUGCACGUCUUGACGGUACCUAAUCAGAAAGCCACGGCUAACUACGUG